This is a non-coding RNA of Macaca mulatta (Rhesus monkey), 907 nucleotides long. The record is from RefSeq and is a predicted model, not a curated record. Lineage: Eukaryota; Metazoa; Chordata; Mammalia; Primates; Cercopithecidae.
AUGGUCUGAAAUGGAGAGAUAAUAGAAGGGGAUGACAUAUGAAAAUAAAUUCAUAAAGGUUGCACUGAUUACUGUGUGACUGGAAUACACAGAUGAAAACAUUCCAUGGGACCAUGAUGGUGGUGUUUCGUCCUUGGGCCCUACCCCUGCUCCAUUUUGAAUGGGCCAGUUGAUUCCUUUCUCAGCUUUAACUUGAAGUAAUCCAAGGAGCCCACUAAGAUAGCUUUCCUGAAACAAAAGUACAAUUUGUCUUCAAAGGUGAAUUCAAGUGAAUCUCUCAAGAGAAACAGGAAUACUAUUUUAAAAUGAUUCUUCCGACCCCUGCACUCCUGGACAGCAUGUUAAAAACAAAUACAGAUAUAGAUUACAUUUACCUUUGUUAUUCUUGGUCUCUUUUUGAGAUCUUUUGCCCACUGGCUGUUGACUCAGAAAUGCCUUCUGAUAAACAGUUUGGACAUUCCAGGGUCCUGAAGCUGCCCCUCAGUCCCAAAAAUAUAAGAAAUGUACCCAGUACGAAUGUAAAGGUAGCAUCCGUGGAGCACACACUGCACACCAGUUGUCAGCUCUGCUUUGGUUGGUGAUGUUCUGUUGGCCCUCUCAGGAGGUUCUGUUGGCUAGAGGUUGCUUUCUCCACCUAUUGAGGAAGAAUCAUGCAAAGACAAGAGGAGGCCACCAGAGGACAACCGGGUUGGCACCUGGGAAAACUGGCAUGGAAAUGCCAAUUUCAGCCUUCUGUGUCUGCCUUUAGGUGCUCUACAGGUCCAGGGUAGAGCAAGCCGCUGUUAGGAUGAAGCUACAGAUGGGCAGACCACUCAAGAGCUGGGUUCCCACUAGACACUUGUUUCUAAAGGAAGAUUGCUUAACUGCAUAUAAUCUUGACAUUAUAGCUUGAUAAAGAACAUCUUAA